Molecule: ribosomal RNA, 1503 nt
Filed under: uncultured Bordetella sp.
Lineage: Bacteria; Pseudomonadati; Pseudomonadota; Betaproteobacteria; Burkholderiales; Alcaligenaceae
Description: partial 16S-23S ribosomal RNA intergenic spacer
Rfam family: Bacterial small subunit ribosomal RNA
Source: RNAcentral
CAUCAGGUAGUACAGAGUUUGAUUCUGGCUCAGAUUGAACGCUGGCGGGAUGCUUUACACAUGCAAGUCGAACGGCAGCAUCGGACUUCGGUCUGGUGGCGAGUGGCGAACGGGUGAGUAAUGUAUCGGAACGUGCCUUCAGUAGCGGGGAUAACUACGCGAAAAGCGCAGCUAAUACCGCAUACGCCCUUCGGGGGAAAGCGGGGGACCUUCGGGCCUCGCACUAUUAGAGCGGCCGAUAUCGGAUUAGCUAGUUGGUGGGGUAACGGCUCACCAAGGCGACGAUCCGUAGCCGGUUUGAGAGACAACCAGCCACACUGGGACUGAGACACGGCCCAGACUCCUACGGGAGGCAGCAGUGGGGAAUUUGGACAAUGGGGAAACCCUGAUCCAGCCAUCCCGCGUGUGCGAUGAAGGCCUUCGGGUUGUAAAGCACUUGGCAGGAAGAAACGGCACGGGAUAAUACCCCGUGCAACUGACGGUACCUGCAGAUAAGCACCGGCUAACUACGUGCCAGCAGCCGCGGUAAUACGGUGGGUGCAAGCGUUAAUCGGAAUUACUGGGCGUAAAGCGCGCAGGCGGUUCGGAAAGAAAGAUGUGAAAUCCCAGAGCUUAACUUUGGAACUGCAUUUUUAACUACCGAGCUAGAGUGUGUCAGAGGGAGGUGAAUUCGCGUGUAGCAGUGAAAUGCGCAGAUAUGCGGAGGAACACCGAUGGCGAAGGCAGCCUCCUGGGAUAACACUGACGCUCAUGCACGAAAGCGUGGGGAGCAAACAGACUAGAUACCCUGGUAGUCCACGCCCUAAACGAUGUCAACUAGCUGUUGGGGCCUUUCGGCCUUGGUAGCGCAGCUAACGGGUGUAAGUGAAGUUGACCGCCUGGGGAGUACGGUCGCAAGAUUAAACUCAAAGGAAUUGACGGGACCCGCACAAGCGGUGGAUGAUGUGGAUUAAUUCGAUGCAACGCGAAAAACCUUACCUACCCUUGACAUGUCUGGAAUCCCGAAGAGAUUUGGGAGUGCUCGCAAGAGAACCGGAACACAGGUGCUGCAUGGCUGUCGUCAGCUCGUGUCGUGAGAUGUUGGGUUAAGUCCUGCAACGAGCGCAACUCCUUGUCAUUAGUUGCUACUUAGGCGGCACUCUAAUGAGGACUGCCGGUACAAACCGGAGUAGAAGGUGGGGACGACGUCAAGUCCUCAUGGCCCUUAUGGGUAGGGCUUCACACGUCAUACAAUGGCCGGGACAGAGGGUCGCCAACCCGCGAGGGGGAGCCAAUCCCAGAAACCCGGAUCGUAGUCCGGAUCGCAGCCCGUAACUCGACUGCGUGAAGUCGGAACGCGUAGUAAUCGCGGAUCAGCAUGUCGCGGUGAAUACGUUCCCGGUCUUGUACACACCGCCCGUCACACCAUGGGAGUGGGUUUUACCAGAAGUAGUUAGCCCAACCGUAAGGAGGGCGAUUACCACGGUAGGAUUCAUGACUGGGGUGAAGUCGUAACAAAGGUAA